Molecule: long non-coding RNA, 973 nt
Organism: Arachis stenosperma
Lineage: Eukaryota; Viridiplantae; Streptophyta; Magnoliopsida; Fabales; Fabaceae
Exons: 3
Source: RefSeq, a predicted model, not a curated record
CGGAAGAAAGGGAAAUAAAGAAAGAAAGGGAAAAUAAGGAAAACAGGGGGAAGGAAGGGGAAAUAAGGAAAGAAAGGGAAAUAAGGAAGACAUGGGGAAGCUCGAGAAGUGGGGAACUGAUAAAGGAAGAAAAGGAAAGGAAGUGAAGAGAGAGAGAAGCGUAGAGGGAGAAGAGGAAGAAGCCGCCGCCACUGCGGUUCGCGUUCACGUCGCCGUCGUAGCGCCUCCAUCCUUGCGCCAGUCGUUGCCGCUGUCGGUGAUGAAGCCCGUCGUCGCCACUUGCGCCUCUACCGCCGUCAGAACUGCACGCCGCCGCUGGAAGCAUCUUCAUCGUCGCCGUUGAUGGAGGUCCGUGAACAGUGGGAAGAUGCACGAGGAAGGAGAAGCCUUCGCCGUUGCCGCUCCGUCUCAACCUGGUUGUCGCUGUCAAGCCACGCCCGUGCCACCGUCACUGAGAUGCCGUUGUUGUUGCCUCCAUUUCCGCCGCAGAUGCCGCCGGCGCCGCUAUAAGCUGCUCCUGCCAAUUGGUUCUGAUUCAGUGGGAAUCCCUUGUGCCAGAUCUGUCCUAAGUGGUUCCGAGUUCACGUUGGUUCUGCUCUUGCCGGUGAGGGCCGCCGGAGCUGCGACUGCGAUUGCACUGAUUUUGGUUCCUUGUUAUGUAGAUUGAGCUACAAUUCUGGGAUGAUGUGUUUAGAAGUUGUAGCUGUCGCGGGGAUAGUCGAUUUUGAUGCCAUUGCUGCGAAAUAAGAAUAGAAACGGAAUUUUGUCACGUAGUUGAGCCUUGAAUUGAGGAACCAGAUGAAGAGGCAUUAAGAGUUAUACUGAGUUUGGUUUAUAUGCUGCUGUGUUAAUUAGAUUAUUUUCUUCCCUCGUCUUUGUUAUUACAAAUUUGUAAGAGGGAUAGGAAUUGUAUGUUCUAUAUGUAUACUAUAUUAUGGGAUAAUAUGUAAGGAGUCUUGUAUAUGAAUCUAUG